Molecule: unclassified non-coding RNA, 390 nt
Filed under: soil metagenome
Description: partial contains 5.8S ribosomal RNA, internal transcribed spacer 2, and large subunit ribosomal RNA
Rfam family: 5.8S ribosomal RNA (bases 1-122)
Source: RNAcentral
GAUGAAGAACGCAGCGAAAUUCGAUACUUGGUGUGAAUUGCAGAAUCCCGCGAAUCAUCGAGUUUUUGAACGCAAGUUGCGCCCGAAGCCAUUCGGCCGAGGGCACGUCUGCCUGGGUGUCACGCAUCGUUGCCCCCCCAAACUUCGGUUCGGGCGGGGCAGAAGUUGGCCUCCCGUGCGUGCCUGCGCGUGCGGUUAGCCCAAAAGCGAGUCCUCGACGACGAGCGCCACGAAAAUCGGUGGUUUUUUUGCCCUCGUUCCUCGUCGUGCGUGCCCCGUCGCCCGAACGCGCUCUUGCGACCCUCACGCGUCGCCUCGGUGGCGCUCCCAACGCGACCCCAGGUCAGGCGGGACUACCCGCUGAGUUUAAGCAUAUCAAUAAGCGGAGGA